GGGGGAUUGAACUCAAGACGUCAAGACCCUAUAGACGACUCCAAUACCAAUAAGCUAAAGCUCAUUGCUGAGAGAGUGUUAUUGUAGGCAUGGCAAGCAAUGUAGAAUAUUUUAUUUAUUAUUGACAUGUCAUGUAGCUCCCACUCAUAACAAAUAAAAUAUUACUGAUGUGGCAUGUGGGUUCCACUCAUAACAAACAAAAUAUUGUUGAAGUGGCAAGUCAUAUUAGCAAUAACACACUCCCUCCUCCAAAUCAACUUCAGUCCUUGAUUUAAAUUGCACCCAAUUUGAUAAAUUAGGCCUAAAUUGCCAAAAUUGAAAGCAUUGGAUUAAAACGCAAUUGUGCACAAACAUUUGGAUUUUUUGUAAAUAGGCCAACAACCAUUCAGAGAAAAGUGUUACUACUUUCAAAAAAAUUUUAACUAUUGCCAUUAGGUCCAUUAUAUACCUUCAAGCUCAUCCCUUUAGGAU
Molecule: unclassified non-coding RNA, 471 nt
Filed under: Hevea brasiliensis (rubber tree)
Lineage: Eukaryota; Viridiplantae; Streptophyta; Magnoliopsida; Malpighiales; Euphorbiaceae
Source: RNAcentral